This is a regulatory RNA element of 62 nucleotides. It matches the Rfam family "L2-Alphaproteobacteria ribosomal protein leader". The record is from Rfam.
GGGGACCUUCGGGGCCCUUCACCACCGGGGCUGACCCCCCGCAAAGCAACGGAAGACAGAAA